UAGAAGCCUGUUACUCACCAGUUGUCCCUGUAGAAUUUAGCUCUCUGGAAGAAAAAGAAAAAAAAAUGUAUCCCUUCCUAUAAAGGAAGAGAUAACUCUCUUUUCUCUCACUCCAAGACUUGCAAAACCACCAUCCCCACACUUCUCUAAAGGCUUGUGGCUUCGUGGAGAGGCACUAGAAAUGAACAAAACAGAGGGAAAAACACAGGCAGAAGGCUAUAUAGGAAAGUAAGAACCACAGAGCACUUUCUACACUUUAGAGUUGACACCUGCAGCACCAAUUAAGGACAUCCAAUGAUCUUAAGGACUUUUCUGCAAAAGAUUACAGACACAAAUGAGCAAGUCUUUCCACAGGAUCAUGCAUAAAUGAUUCCUUUAAGCAAUAAGCUUUCCAAGUGUGGGCUUCCAGAUGAUCUACAGGCCGGUCCAAACUUCAAAGACAACAUCUGUUCUUAUCUGUAUAAUCUCAGUGAGCACAAGAGAAAAAAGAAAGAAGAGAGUGAGGGAAGAGAAAGAACUGGUCCAUUUUGAUUGGCUUCUGAAAAUUCAUCGACUAAAGCUUGGAGCAACAAGGAGUGAUAGGGAUACUGUAGCUCACACAGAUCUCAGGAUCAUUUUUUAAAGCUUUUUUUGCUUGUUUGGUUUCAAGUGAAGACAAGUAGGGUGGUCUGGUUUGGCGUGGCUGGCUUUUGUAUUCCUUAUGUGAUUUGCACACCAAAAAAGUCUGAGAACCAUUGUCUUUGGAGAAAAAAAAUGAUUGAAUAGUUCAUACUCAGGGUUAUAGAUUCUAAAAAUAUAGAAUUAUACCUAGCAACAAUUUAUUAUUGUGUCUUUUAUUGAUUGGUUGAGCAUAUAUAUGACCAAAAGUGGCUCAAAGAAUUAAGAG
Long non-coding RNA from Phascolarctos cinereus (koala), 886 nucleotides. RefSeq lists it as uncharacterized. The record is from RefSeq and is a predicted model, not a curated record. Lineage: Eukaryota; Metazoa; Chordata; Mammalia; Diprotodontia; Phascolarctidae.